This 253-nucleotide ribosomal RNA is filed under the name uncultured bacterium. RNAcentral describes it as "partial 16S ribosomal RNA". It matches the Rfam family "Bacterial small subunit ribosomal RNA", at positions 524 to 776 of the family's 1533-position model. The record is from RNAcentral.
UACGGGGGGGGUAAGCGUUGUUCGGAAUUACUGGGCGUAAAGGGCUCGUAGGCGGCCAACUAAGUCAGACGUGAAAUCCCUCAGCUUAACUGGGGAACUGCGUCUGAUACUGGAUGGCUUGGAUUCGGGAGAGGAAUGCGGAAUUCCAGGUGUAGCGGUGAAAUGCGUAGAUAUCUGGAAGAACACCUGUGGCGAAGGCGGCUCUCUGGUACGUGACUGACGCUGAGACGCGAAAGCGUGGGGAGCGAACAGG